UACGAAGGGGACUAGCGUUGUUCGGAAUUACUGGGCGUAAAGGGCGCGUAGGCGGCGUGUCAAGUCAGGCGUGAAAGCCCCGGGCUCAACCUGGGAACCGCGCUUGAGACUGGCAUGCUCGAGUUCGGGAGAGGAUGGUGGAAUUCCCAGUGUAGAGGUGAAAUUCGUAGAUAUUGGGAAGAACACCGAUGGCGAAGGCAGCCAUCUGGACCGACACUGACGCUGAGGCGCGAAAGCGUGGGGAGCAAACAGG
This 253-nucleotide ribosomal RNA is filed under the name uncultured bacterium. RNAcentral's name for it is "partial 16S ribosomal RNA". It matches the Rfam family "Bacterial small subunit ribosomal RNA", at positions 524 to 776 of the family's 1533-position model. The record is from RNAcentral.